RNAcentral lists this ribosomal RNA (433 nucleotides) under uncultured bacterium. Its description in RNAcentral is "partial 16S ribosomal RNA". It matches the Rfam family "Bacterial small subunit ribosomal RNA", at positions 29 to 507 of the family's 1533-position model. The record is from RNAcentral.
AACGAACGCUGGCGGCAGGCCUAACACAUGCAAGUCGAGCGCGCCCUUCGGGGUGAGCGGCGGACGGGUGAGUAACGCGUGGGAACGUGCCCUUUUCUACGGAAUAGCCUCGGGAAACUGAGAGUAAUAUCGUAUACGCCCUUUGGGGGAAAGAUUUAUCGGAAAAGGAUCGGCCCGCGUUGGAUUAGGUAGUUGGUGGGGUAAUGGCCUACCAAGGCGACGAUCCAUAGCUGGUCUGAGAGGAUGAUCAGCCACACUGGGACUGAGACACGGCCCAGACUCCUACGGGAGGCAGCAGUGGGGAAUCUUAGACAAUGGGGGCAACCCUGAUCUAGCCAUGCCGCGUGAGUGAUGAAGGCCUUAGGGUUGUAAAGCUCUUUCAGCUGGGAAGAUAAUGACGGUACCAGAAGAAGAAGCCCCGGCUAACUCCGUG